ACCGGCAGCUAGCUCUCUGCAACUCUCACAUGGUCGCCCACUGAAGCUAAGCAGGGCUGCGCCCGGUCAGUACCUGGAUGGGAGACCACAUGGGAAAGCUAGGUUGCUGCCGGAA
Molecule: non-coding RNA, 115 nt
Organism: Danio rerio (zebrafish)
Lineage: Eukaryota; Metazoa; Chordata; Actinopteri; Cypriniformes; Danionidae
Source: Rfam